Molecule: ribosomal RNA, 301 nt
Filed under: uncultured bacterium
Lineage: Bacteria
Description: partial 16S ribosomal RNA
Rfam family: Bacterial small subunit ribosomal RNA
Source: RNAcentral
CAGUCGCCGCGGGAAUACGAAGGGGGCUAGCGUUGCUCGGAAUGACUGGGCGUAAAGGGCGCGUAGGCGGUUUGUACAGUCAGAUGUGAAAUUCCUGGGCUCAACCUGGGGACUGCAUUUGAUACGUAUGGACUUGAGUGGAGGAGAGGGUCGUGGAAUUUCCAGUGUAGAGGUAAAAUUCGUAGAUAUUGGAAAGAACACCGGUGGCGAAGGCGGCGACCUGGCCUUUAACUGACGCUGAGGCGCGAAAGCGUGGGGAGCAAACAGGAUUAGAUACCCCAGUAGUCCCUGUCUCUUAUAC